AGAGUUUGAUCCUGGCUCAGAAUCAACGCUGGCGGCGUGCCUAACACAUGCAAGUCGAACGAGAAAGGGCACCUUCGGGAGCCUGAGUAAAGUGGCGAACGGGUGAGUAACACGUGGGUGACCUGCCCUUUGGAGGGGGAUAACCCGGGGAAACCCGGGCUAAGACCGCAUAAGCCUCUGAGGUCAAACUCAAAGGGAAAAGGGUCUAGCUUUCGAGCUUGAUCCUGCCGAAGGAGGGGCCCGCGUCCCAUUAGCUUGUUGGUGGGGUAAAAGCCUACCAAGGCUACGAUGGGUAGCCGGUCUGAGAGGACGGACGGCCACACUGGAACUGAGACACGGUCCAGACUCCUACGGGAGGCAGCAGUGGGGAAUUUUGGGCAAUGGGCGAAAGCCUGACCCAGCAACGCCGCGUGGAGGAAGAAGGCCUUCGGGUCGUAAACUCCUGUCCUAGGGGAAGAAAAAAAUGACGGUACCCUUGGAGGAAGCCCCGGCUAACUCCGUGCCAGCAGCCGCGGUAAGACGGGGGGGGCGAGCGUUGUUCGGAAUCACUGGGCGUAAA
This 559-nucleotide ribosomal RNA is filed under the name uncultured Acidobacteriota bacterium. Its description in RNAcentral is "bacterial SSU rRNA". It matches the Rfam family "Bacterial small subunit ribosomal RNA", at positions 8 to 564 of the family's 1533-position model. Lineage: Bacteria; Pseudomonadati; Acidobacteriota. The record is from RNAcentral.